Molecule: small nuclear RNA, 104 nt
Organism: Cavia aperea (Brazilian guinea pig)
Lineage: Eukaryota; Metazoa; Chordata; Mammalia; Rodentia; Caviidae
Source: Ensembl
GUGAUCACUUCAGCAGCACAUACACUAAAACUGGAAUGAUACAGAGAAGAUUAGCAUGGCCCCUGUGCAAGGACAUGCAAAUUCAUGAAGCACUUCAUAUUUUU